Cavia porcellus (domestic guinea pig) is the source of this 1338-nucleotide long non-coding RNA. RefSeq lists it as uncharacterized. The record is from RefSeq and is a predicted model, not a curated record. The transcript is spliced from 4 exons. Lineage: Eukaryota; Metazoa; Chordata; Mammalia; Rodentia; Caviidae.
GUGCAGGCAGGAAGUGACAUUUUGGGAAGCACUACCUGGAGGUAACUGGAUGAGCAGUUUCCUGGAUUCGAGGGGAGAUGGAAAUCUCAGUGCUCACGCCUGUGCUUGGACAUCGGCUAACGUGCCCUCGGAAGCCUCGUUAGUGGAUGCUCCCCGGAGCACCAGGACAAUAGAUAACUGAUACAGCAGCCACCAACUGGAAGUGAAUCCACACCUUGCACUGUUGGGAGAAAGACCUAGAAACAUCGGACUCUGAAAUGCCUUUAGCCGCAUCCAGCUCACCUCUGCCCUUUUUUUCCUGCACCUGAGUUGCACUGGAUUUUCCUGCUGUCCUUGAAUGUGCUGGGAAGCCUGCAACGUUAUCAUCCCACACUUUCCCUCUGGCCACAGGCACAGAUGCCUCUCUCCUGCGCUGCCCUCCCCUCCAGCAAGCCUGCCCUGACUCUCGGAGGAGGGUAGUCCCCACACAGCAUGGCCAAGUCCCUCUGUACUCCCAUGUUACACUCUGUGCCUUUGGGUCCUCCACCGCCGUGGCUCUGCUGUUGAGCACAGCCUGGCACAUGAUUCAUGUGUGUGGCCAAAGGACAAUCUCAAGACUGUUUAAAGCCUCGCAGUGUACAGCUGGGGGGUCUCUUCUCUCUGCCUUUGCACAAGUCUGCAGUCCAGACCUGGACACGUGGACAAGACAGGCCUGGAGCCAGGAGGCCAACAUGAGUUAAGGAUCCGUAAACCUCUCCUACUCGGCGGGCAGUCCUGGUGGACCGGGGUCUAACGGCGUGGGUUUGAGGCCAGAUAGACCCACGCUGAGUUCCAGUUUAGCCACUAGGCUGGGUCUCAAUUUCCUCAUAUAUAAAACGAGGACGAUGCUGGUGCCUUCCUCUUUGGAUUGUUUCACUGGGUUAAAGAGGUAGAGAAUUCAGCCAGGAUUGACACAGAGAUAAAUGUUUAUCAGAAACAAACGCAGCAGAACCGUCUAGGUAUAUUUUUGCCCCGAGGUGGUGUGUUUGCUCUGCACAGAAAUCCUCACUGGGAAGAGUAACCCUAGGGUAAGACAACGUAGAACUAAGUGCUAGAACCCAGGGAAGAGCUUUAAAUAUGAACUAGCUCAAUUCCUUCCUUCUUGAGCUGUGUAGCACACCAACAUUAGCUUCAUUCCACAGAUGAAUAAACUGAGAAGUCUGUUUUGGAAAUCUCUUGGGAGGCUCCAGAUGGUUUCAGGCUGCUUAGCAGGGGGCGGUUUGGGUUGGGAUGAGAGAACCCUUUCUUAGAAUCCAGCAGAGAGUCCUAAUGUAUGAGGAACCACUUACAAUAAAAUGACUUUCUAUUCUUUAAUUAAAA